RNAcentral lists this non-coding RNA (47 nucleotides) under uncultured eukaryote. The record is from RNAcentral.
CCAAAAAAAAAGAAAGAAAAAAAAACAAAAAAAAAACAAAACAAAAA